This is a long non-coding RNA of Telopea speciosissima, 184 nucleotides long. RefSeq lists it as uncharacterized. The transcript has 3 exons. NCBI's taxonomy places the organism in Eukaryota, Viridiplantae, Streptophyta, Magnoliopsida, Proteales, Proteaceae. The record is from RefSeq and is a predicted model, not a curated record.
UGGGAGAGCUAUAGAAGCAAAGCAACUGAAUGUGGUUCCCAAUUCCAAAUCCAUCCAUCAACACGAAAGAGCGGUUGUUGACUGGAGUAAGUACAACUUCAAGGGCAUAAAAUUAUCAGUCUUUGGCUAAAAUGCUCUCUGCCAGUUCAAACCAAAUUGCAUGUGGAAUGCAAACCAGAAUUGA